Molecule: long non-coding RNA, 150 nt
Organism: Dermatophagoides pteronyssinus (European house dust mite)
Lineage: Eukaryota; Metazoa; Arthropoda; Arachnida; Sarcoptiformes; Pyroglyphidae
Source: RefSeq, a predicted model, not a curated record
ACAGACACAAGAUCAAGCGAACUGGUAUGGUCAACGAAUGGGUGGGUUCACUAUCAGAUUCAAUCAGUUAUUGACUGAUUCAUUAAAAUGAUUAUCACCAUCAUUAUCGAUUGUGGACAAAUUAUCAAUGGGACAAUAAUUUUUGAGAUU